RNAcentral lists this long non-coding RNA (1597 nucleotides) under Papio anubis (olive baboon). RNAcentral describes it as "lncRNA (ENSPANG00000044370.1)". The record is from RNAcentral. Lineage: Eukaryota; Metazoa; Chordata; Mammalia; Primates; Cercopithecidae.
GACCAAGAGAGUCUAAGAAGGUCUUAGGGAGCACAGACAACCUGAGGUGCAUCUUAACAGACUCACACCAUUUGGAAAUAAAUAAAGACAGAUGAAAAAGUUCUAGCACCUGUGUGUAGCCAGCUCACUCAUUCAUUGUGUAUCAUUGCUUUGUUUAUUCAAACCAUUAAAAAAAAAAUUAUAACCAGACACCAGGCACUUGCCGUAGAGUUUUAAAACAUGGAAUUUUAAUCCCUGCCCUCAAGGGCAGGAGGUCAGGGAGAUGUAAAGUGUAAAAUAAUGUGGACACAGGGGGAGAGCCACGUGACACUCUCCAGGUGACAUCCGAGGAGAGUGGUUAACCCGCCUGGUGGGGAAGGGACGGAGGCUGAGAGGCAGGCCAGUGAAGGGCAUUCCAGCUCCAGAGUCUUUGAGUGAAAUAAAAAGUAGAGGAAGCAUGGAGUGUGGACAGCUGCAAGCAUGGCCCUGUUCUGACAUGACAUGCAUGCUAGGCACAGGCAGGAGCCAGAAAUGUGUCAAGGACGCGGGAUGCAGGAGACGCAGAUUCUGAAGGAUCUCAGGGCCCCGGAAAGGAGCACGGCGUUUCAGCAAGUCUCAAGGUACCACUGCUGCAAUUGAGCCGAGAUCAGAACUGCCUUUUAGAUAAGUCAUGUGAAUGGAUUCGCUGUCCGUGUUGCGUCUGAAUGGCUGAGCGCAGAGGUAAUGAGACCCUGCGAAGGCCAUUUCCAGUGUCCAGGCAAGAGCUGAGCCUGGGUCUCCCUGGAGGAAGGCACAGAGUUGCGCAACCCAUGAAGGGACCCCUUAAAGCAAUCGGGAGCUCCACCUGAGCCCAGGUAUGGCGGGCUGACCUGUGACCUACCUCAGAGCCCAGAAUAAAGGAGCCAAGAGCUGGCCAGCAUUGAAACAGAUACUGUGCCCUGCCUCUGGAGUCACGCAGGCCUACUUCCCUCUUCCCUCCUUCCUGAGGGAGCCAUGAUAGAAGAAAGCCCAGAUAAGGAAACUCUCAGGACUGAAUUUGCAUUUUAGACUUGACCUCUGGGCAAAAGGACUCAUGGGUUUCUAGAAAGUGUAAGAGAUGAUCAUAUAGGUUCUUCAUGCUUGGCAUCUGUGUCUAGGAGUAUUUGAAAGAAAUGUUUAAGGCUUUUGGUUACUGCUUAUUUUUUGUUAGAGUAAACAUUGAAAGCUAUGUGUAGAAAGAAGCCUGGAAUAUCAUCAAAAAUAGGUUACAAUAAAAUACAAUUCUACUUGUUUCUGGGUCUUGAACUUUCCACAUCAAGUAUGGAAAGAGAUAUAUAGAAAGCCCUUCUUCUAUUAUUUCUGGCAUAUAGCCCCAGGAUUAAAGAGUUAAUAUCAACUUGUUACCCUCUCACAAAUAGAGAGAUGGAGUGCAGUUCCAGAAAAUGAUUCUUCUAUAGAAGAGCCUUGGUUUGUUGUUGUUGUUGUUAAUGUUUUGUUUUAUUUUUCAGAUUGAUUCCAAGUGUUGGAAGCCCAAAAAUUACUGUAGGUAGGUAAGAAAAAGAAAACAGUUCUUUUUCCUUUGGCUUAUAAAUAUUGAAGUUACUUUUCUUUAUUUUUAUUCCAUAUUUAUACAUGUUCU